Gracilinanus agilis (Agile Gracile Mouse Opossum) is the source of this 238-nucleotide long non-coding RNA. RefSeq lists it as uncharacterized. The transcript has 3 exons. The record is from RefSeq and is a predicted model, not a curated record. NCBI's taxonomy places the organism in Eukaryota, Metazoa, Chordata, Mammalia, Didelphimorphia, Didelphidae.
ACGGCUUAACCCUAGAGAAGUGGAAUAUGGCACCAUUGAUGGACUCAUCACUACAAAUGUUGGCGAUAGCACCUUAGCAGAUUUAAUGGAUCAUUCUUGUACGUCAGGAAGUGGCUCUGGUCUUCCUUUUCUCGUACAAAGAACUGUGGCUCGUCAGAUUACACUAUUGGAAUGCGUAGGAAAAGGCCGAUAUGGAGAGGUGUGGCGGGGCCACUGGCAAGGAGAAAAUGUUGCAGUG